GCUGGUAUAGCUCAUUGGUAAGAGCAUUUGCCCAGCAUGCACAAAGCCCUAGGUUCAAUUCCUAGUACUAAAA
Molecule: transfer RNA, 73 nt
Filed under: Cavia porcellus (domestic guinea pig)
Lineage: Eukaryota; Metazoa; Chordata; Mammalia; Rodentia; Caviidae
Rfam family: tRNA
About the family: Transfer RNA (tRNA) molecules are approximately 80 nucleotides in length. Their secondary structure includes four short double-helical elements and three loops (D, anti-codon, and T loops).
Source: Rfam by way of RNAcentral